This 200-nucleotide long non-coding RNA is filed under the name Panax ginseng (ginseng). RNAcentral describes it as "long non-coding RNA (PGIN_LNC004840)". The record is from RNAcentral. Lineage: Eukaryota; Viridiplantae; Streptophyta; Magnoliopsida; Apiales; Araliaceae.
GAUAAGAUAGGUUCAUGAAAUGUCUUGUGUGACACAAUGAUGGACUUAGUGAAGGAUGAUUAAGCAUUUGCAUAUUUAAAGUCCAAAUAAUAAAUUGGGAGUCUAGCCCAAUAAGUUAAUUGAUGGACUUUUGAGUUAGCCCAAUAAACUUGGGAUAUUUAGAAUCCAAUUCGGAACCCAACAAAAUAGUUAACUGGGAG